UGGGGAAUAUUGCACAAUGGAGGGAACUCUGAUGCAGCGACGCCGCGUGAGUGAUGAAGGACUUCGUUUCGUAAAACUCUGUUCUAUGGGAAGAAAAGGACUGUACCAUAGGAGAAAGCUCCGGCUAAAUACGUGCCAGCAGCCGCGGUAAUACGUAUGGAGCGAGCGUUGUCCGGAAUUAUUGGGCGUAAAGGGUGCGCAGGCGGCAUUACAAGUUGGAUGUGAAAUAUUGUGGCUCAACCACAAACGUGCAUCCAAAACUGCAAAGCUAGAGUUAAGGAGAGGUAAGUGGAAUUCCGUGUGGAGCGGUGGAAUGCGUAGAUAUCAGGGGGAAUACCGGUGGCGAAGGCGACUUACUGGACUUACACUGACGCUCAGGCACGAAAGCGUGGGGAGCAAACAGG
RNAcentral lists this ribosomal RNA (404 nucleotides) under Fusobacteriota bacterium. RNAcentral's name for it is "Fusobacteria bacterium partial 16S ribosomal RNA". It matches the Rfam family "Bacterial small subunit ribosomal RNA", at positions 355 to 776 of the family's 1533-position model. The record is from RNAcentral. Lineage: Bacteria; Fusobacteriati; Fusobacteriota.